UACGUAGGGUGCAAGCGUUGUCCGGAAUUAUUGGGCGUAAAGAGCUCGUAGGCGGUUUGUUGCGUCGGCUGUGAAAUCCCGAGGCUCAACCUCGGGUCUGCAGUCGAUACGAGCAAACUAGAGUGUUGCAGGGGAGACUGGAAUUCCUGGUGUAGCGGUGAAAUGCGCAGAUAUCAGGAGGAACACCAAUGGCGAAGGCAGCACUCUGGGACGUGACUGACGCUGAGACGCGAAAGCGUGGGGAGCAAACAGG
Molecule: ribosomal RNA, 253 nt
Filed under: uncultured bacterium
Lineage: Bacteria
Description: partial 16S ribosomal RNA
Rfam family: Bacterial small subunit ribosomal RNA
Source: RNAcentral